RNAcentral lists this long non-coding RNA (30331 nucleotides) under Triticum aestivum (bread wheat). RNAcentral describes it as "long non-coding RNA (TAES_LNC022651)". Lineage: Eukaryota; Viridiplantae; Streptophyta; Magnoliopsida; Poales; Poaceae. The record is from RNAcentral.
CGAAGUCUCAUCCCGACUUGUGGGGGAAUCAUAGUCUUCAUCAUCCUUUCCUUACUGGGACAAUGCUCUAAUUAAUGAAGAUCAUCACACUUUUAUGGAUUUACAACUCAAGAAUUACAACUCAAAGCUAGAACAAGAUAUGACUCUAUAUGAAUGCCUCCGGCGGUGUACCGGGAUAUGCAAUGAAUCAAGAGCGACAUGUAUGAAAAUUAUGAAGGUAGCCUUGCCACAAAUACGAUGUCAACUACAUGAUCAUGCAAAGAGUAAUAUGACAAAGGUAAUGCGUGUCAUAUGAACGGAACGGUGGAAAGUUGCAUGGCAAUAUAUCUCGGAAUGGCUAUGGAAAUGCCAUAAUAGGUAGGUAUAAUCCCAUGGACUCAAUAUUAGUCAAAAGAACUCAUAUACUUAUCGCACAAAUCUAGAAGUCAUAAAAAACAAAGUACUACGCGCAUGCUCCUAGGGGGAUAGAUUGGUAGGAAAAGACCAUCGUUCGUCCCCGACCGCCACUCAUAAGGAAGACAAUCAAUAAAUAAAAUUGUGCUCCAACUUCAUCACAAAGCAGUUCACCAUACGUGCAUGAUAUGGGAAUCACAAAACUCAACACAAGUAUUUUUCAUAAUCACCUCAACUAGCAUGACUUUAAUAUCACUACCUCCAUAUCUCAAAACAAUUAUCAAGUAUCAAAUUGAUCAUAGCAUCCAAUUCACUUUCUAUGAUAGUUUUUAUUAUACCCAACUUGGAUGCUCAUCAUUCUAGGACCAAAUUUUUCACCAUAGAAAAUACCAUGCUGUUCUAAAAGAAUCUCAAAAUAAUAUAAGUGAAGCAUGAGAGACUAGCAAUUUCUUCAAAAUUAAGCCACCGCCAUGCUCUAAAAGAUAUAAGUGAAGCACUAGAGCAAAAACUAUCAAGCUCAAAAGAUAUAAGUGAAGCACAUAGAGUAUUCUAGCAAAUUCUAAUCAAGUAGGCUUCUCCCAAAAGGUGUGUACAGCAAGGAUGAUUGUGGUAAACUGAAAAGCAAAUACUAAUAUAAUACACGACGCUCCAAGCAAAACACAUAUCAUGUGGCUAAUAAAAAUAUAGUUCCAAGUAAAGUAACUAAUGAACGAAGACAAAAGAGGGGAUGCCUUCCCGGGGCAUACCAAGCUUAGGAUUUUGGCUAUACUUGAAUAUCUUGGGGUGCCAUGGGCAUCCCCAAGCUUAGACUCUUGCCAGUCCUUAUUCCAUAGUCCAUAAAAGCUUUACCCAAACUUGAAAACUUCACAACACAAAACUCAACAGCAAAUCUUAUAAGCUCCGUUAGUGAAAGAAAACAAAACCACCACAUAAGGUACUGUAAGGAACUCAUUGUUUAUUUAUUUUGGUGUUAAACCUACUGUAUUCCAAAUUCUCUAUGGUUUAUAAACUAUUUUACUAGCCAUAGAUGCAUCAAAAUAAGCAAACAACACACGAAAAACAGAAUCUGUCAAAAACAAAACAGUCUGUAGCAAUCUGUAACUAGCGCAAACUUCUGGAAAUCUAAAAAUCCUACCAAAAUAGGAAGUCCUGUAAAAUUUGUCUAUUGAUCAGCAGCAAAAAGAAUCAACGCAAAAUCACGUUUCUAUGAUUUAACAAAACUAAAUUCGUGCGUGCAAAGUUUCUGUUUUUCAGUAGAAUCAAAUCAACUAUCAUCAUAGGUUAUCCUAUAGGUUCUACUUGACACAAACGCUAAUUAAAAGAUAAAAACACAUCUAAACAGAAGGUAGAUGCAAGAUUUAUUACUAAACAGGAACAAAAACAAAAAACACAAAGAAAAUUGGGUUGCCUCCCAACUAGCGCUAUUGUUUAAUGCCCCUAGCUAGGCAUAAAAGCAAAGAUAGAUCUAAGUAGUGCCAUCUUUGACACUCAAUUCAUAAGUAGCUCGCACAAUAGAUUUAUAAGGUAAUUUGACUUUCUUUCUUGGAAAGUUCUCCAUGCCUUUCUUUAAUGGAAAUUGGAAUCUAAUAUUCCCUUCCUUCAUAUCAAUAAUCAUGCCAAUCGUUCUAAGGAAAGGUCUACCAAGAAUAAUAGAGCAAGAAAGAUUGCAAUCUAUAUCAAGAACGAUAAAAUCUAUGUGCACCAAAUUUCUACUUGCAACAAUGAGAACAUCAUUUUAUCCUUCUCAUUGGAUUUUUAAUGGUGGAAUCUGCAAGGUGCAAAUUUAAAGAGCAAUCAUCAAGAUCAUGGAAACCUAGAAUAUCACAUAAACUUUUUGGAAUCGUGGAAACACUAGCACCCAAAUCACACAAAGCAAAACACUCAUGAUCUUUAAUUCUAAUCAUUAUAGUAGGUUCCCACUCAUCAUUAAGUUUUCUAGGUAUAGAAACUUCCAAAUUAAGUUUUCAUCAUAAUAUUGCAUCAAGGCAUCAACGAUAUGUUUGCUAAAAGCUUUAUUUUGACUAUAAGCAUGACGAGAAUUAACAACGGAUUGCAACAACCUUCUAAAGAACAAUUAUCAUAAUCAAAUUCCUUGAAAUCCGAGAUAGUGGGUUCAAUGCUAUUUAAAGUCAUGACCUCUCCAAUCCCACUUUUACCAAAUUUAGCAUCAAGAUCUAAAAGCUCUGAAUUUUUGGGAUGCCUUCUAGGUAAAGUUGACUCAUCUUCAGUCCCAUAAUUAUCAAGAUUCAUAUUGCAAAACAAAGAUCUAAUACGAGACGCAUCAAUAACUUUAAGAUCUUCAUCAUUAUUUUCAUGGAAACUAGAAGAACACACCUUUAUAAAGCAAUCUUUCUUAGCACGCAAUCUAGCCGUUCUUUUCUUGCACUCGUCAAUGGAAAUUCUCAUUGCUUUGAGAGACUCAUUGAUAUAAUGCUUAGGGGAAGAAGAUCUAAGUUUAAGAGAAUCAACAUCAAGCGAAAGUCUAUCAACGUUCCUAGUCAAAUCAUCAACUUUGAGAAAUUUUUCUUCAAGCAAGGCAUUAAAAUUCUUUCGAGAAAUCAUAAAUUCUUUCACACUAUUCUCAAAAUCAGAGGGCAUCUUAUUAAAAUUACCAUAAGAAUUAUUGUAGGAAUUUCCAUAAUUAUUAGAGGAAUUACUAGGGAACGGUCUAGCAUUAAAGUUUCCUCUAUAAGCAUUGUUUCCAAAACUAUUCCUACCAACAAAAUUCACAUCCAUAGAUUCAUUAUUAUUCUCAAUCAAAGUAGACAAAGGCAUAUCAUUGGGAUAAAGAGGAGUAUUCUUAGUAGCAAACAAUUUCAUAAGUUCAUCCAUCUUUCCACUCAAAACAUUGAUUUCUUCUAUAGCAUGCACUUUUUUACUAGAAGAUCUUUCGGUGUGCCAUUGAGAAUAAUUAGCCAUAAUAUUAUCAAGAAGUUUUGUAGCAUCUCCUAACGUGAUUUCCAUAAACGUGCCUCCUGCGGCCGAAUCUAAGAGAUUUCUAGAAGCAAAGUUCAAACUGGCAUAAAUUUUUUGUAUGAUCAUCCGUAAAUUCAAACCAUGAGUAGGGCAAUUACGAAUCAUCAAUUUCAUUCUUUCCCAAGAUUGGGCAACAUGAUCAUGAUCAAGUUGUUUAAAAUUCAUAAUAUUGUUCCUAAGAGUGAUAAUCUUAGCGGGAGGAAAAUACUUAGAGAUAAAAGCAUCUUUGCACUUGUUCCAAGAAUCAAUACAAUUUUUAGGCAAAGAUGAAAACCAAACUUUAGCACGAUCUCUAAGUGAAAAUGGAAAUAACUUCAAUUUAACAAUAUCGUUAUCCGUAUCUUUCUUCUUUUGCAUAUCACACAAAUCAACAAAGUUGUUUAGAUGAGUAGCAACAUCUUCACUAGGAAGGCCGGCGAAUUGAUCUUUCAUAACAAGAUUCAGCAAAGCAGUAUUGAUUUCACAAGACUCAACAUCAUUAAGAGGAGCAAUCGGAGUACUAAGGAAAUCAUUAUUAUUGGUAUUGGAGAAAUCACACAAUUUGGUAUUAUCUUGCGCCAUGGCAACAAGUAAUCCAACACACAAGCAAACAGAAAAAGGCAAGCGAAAGAGAGAGGAGGAGAUUGGGAAAGAGAGGGCGAAUAAAAUGCAAGGGUGAAGUGGGGGAGAGGAAAACGAGAGGCAAAUGACAAAUAAUGUAAAUGCAAGGGAGAUGAGUUUGUGAUGGGUACUUGGUAUGUCUUGACUUGAGCGAAGACCUCCCCGCCAACGGCGCCAGAAAUCCUUCUUGCUACGUCUUGAGCUUGCGUUGGUUUUCCUUGAAGAGGAAAGGGUGAUGCAGCAAUAGUAGCGUAAGUAUUUCCCUCAGUUUUGGAGAACCAAGGUAUCAAUCCAGUAGGAGGAUCCUCAAAAGUCCCACGCACCUACACAAACAAACAAAGAACUCGCAACCAACGCAAUAACGGGGUUGUCAUUCCCUUCACGGCCACUUGCGAAAGUGAGAUCUAAUAGAGAUAGUAUGAUAAGAUAGAUAUAUUUUUGGUAUUUUAUAAUAUAGAUGCAAAAAGUAAAGAUGCAAAUAAAAGUAGAUUGGAAGCAAAUAUUAUAAGAGAUAGACCCGGGGGCCAUAGGUUUCACUAGAGGCUUCUCUCAAGAUAGCAUAAGUAUUACGGUGGGUGAACAAAUUACUAUCGAGCAAUUGAUAGAAAAGCGAAUAAUUAUGAGAUUAUCUAGGCAUGAUCAUGUAUAUAGGCAGCAUGUCCGUGACAAGUAGACCGACUCCCGCCUACAUCUACUACUAUUACUCCACACAUCGACCGACUCCUGCCUGCAUCUAGAGUAUUAAGUUCAUAAGAAUAGAGUAACGCCUUAAGCAAGAUGACAUGAUGUAGAGGGAUAAACUCAUGCAAUAUGAUAUAAACCCCAUCUUUUAUCCUCGAUGGCAACAAUACAAUACGUGCCUUGCAACCCUUUCUGUCACUGGGUAAGGACACCACAAGAUUGAACCCAAAGCUAAGCACUUCUCCCAUGGCAAGAAAGAUCAAUCUAGUAGGCCAAACCAAACUAAUAAUUCGAAGAGAGUUGCAAAGAUAACUCAAUCAUACAUAAGAGAAUUCAGAGGAGAUUCAAAUAUUUCUCAUAGAUAAACUUGAUCAUAAACCCACAAUUCAUCGGAUCUCAACAAACACACUGCAAAAAGAGUUUACAUCGAAUAGAUCUCCACAAGAGAGGGGGAGAACAUUGUAUUGAGAUCCAAAAAGAGAGAAGAAGCCAUCUAGCUAAUAACUAUGGACCCGAAGGUCUGUGGUAAACUACUCACAACUCAUCGGAGGGGCUAUGGUGUUGAUGUAGAAGCCCUCCGUGAUCGAUUCCCCCUCCGGCAGAGCACCGGCGAAGGCUCCAAGAUGGGAUCUCGCGGAUACAGAAGGUUAUGUCGGUGGAAAUUGUGUUUCGUUGGCUCCCUGGAUGUUUUCGGGGUACGUAGGCUUAUAUAGGAGGAAGAAGUAUGUCGGUGGCCGCCUGAGGGGCCCACGAGACAGGGGGCGCGCCCUGUAGUGGUGGGCUUGCCCUACCCUCUUGUGGCCGCCUCGACAUCUUGUUGGCUUGCACUUCAAGUCCUCUGGAUCACGUUCGUUCCAAAAAUCACGCUCCCGAAGGUUUCAUUCCAUUUGGACUCCGUUUGAUAUUCCUUUUCUUUGAAAUACUUAAAUGGGCAAAAAACAGCAAUACGGGCUGGGCCUCCAGUUAGUAGGUUAGUCCCAAAAAUGAUAUAAUUGUGUAAAAUAAAGCCCAUAAACAUCCAAAAGGGGUAAUAUAAUAGCAUGGAACAAUAAAAAAUUAUAGAUACAUUGGAGACGGAACAUGCAUCACCCAGCUCAAGGCUCCACGAGGUUGGCAUCUCAGGGGAAGUCGCGUCAGGAUCUGCGCCCGUGCAAGGGGCGCCUCCUUCCAUUGCAUAGGACGGCGCACCCGGCGCCCUCCUCUGGCAGGGCUCGGGGGCUCUCUUUUGGAGGGCCUCAGACUUUGCCAAGAUCACGAGGAAGGCGCUCGGGCACCACUUGGAGGCGUGCUUCGCAGCACGUUUCCCUCAGGAAGGCAUGGGGCAUGGAAAGCCCAACCCUCAGGAGUUCAUCACCAAGACCACACAGGAGCUUCAGGAAGCAAGAGCCAUGCGCAGCGAUCGCCGUUUGCCUGGUGUAGCACCCCAUCCAGGCGAGGUGGCGGGCUGCACAUCUGCAUCGAUUUCCCAGGGCUCAACUGAGCCGCGUCUCAGGAGCGCCUCUGGCCCUUGCGCGUGGGACGUUGCAAGGGUCCCCCGCACAACUACGUUCGCAUGCCUUUCAGCCUGCCGAACGCGGCUGCCACUCACCAGCGCCAUCUGCGGAGCAUUCUGGCGGCUCAGGAGGCCAGGCAUCACGCGGUCCUGGCGGAGAUGGAGAUGGUCCUCGAGGAACCACCCGGACCCCCAGAGUCCCCCGAGGCUCAGGGCUCCGGCGGCUCGUGAGGAUUGGCCUCUUCACCGCACACCUUCAGCUACUCCAACACCCCCUCUACAAUGGUACCAGGUGACAUCUUUCGAGUUCAUUUUAGCUGGGAGCGCCCUCAGGGCUGCAUCAUUCCCAGGCCGCACGAGUCUGUCCCUGCGGCAUGUAUCUCUUUUUCUUAUGUCUUUAGUUUACCUUGCUGGGGGUGCCCCUCGGGUUGCAUCAUCCCCAAGCCGCUCGGGCCUGACCCAGUGGCGUGUAUCCCUCCUACAUUUAUCUAAGCUGAUUUGCCUUUCAUGCUUAACCUGCCCAUGAUUAUCGCCUUCUCGAUUGACACCUACCUCUGGAGCUGCUUACUCUGGCACGGCGCUUGCGCAUGGGUCCGUCCCUGCAACGUUGACAAAUAUGAGUGGUCGAGCUCUGGCCCGCGGCAGCCCCGCAAGCGUCACCUCACCAGGCCCUCAGUGCCCUCACCACUCUCUCAGAGCAACCAAUGGCCGGCCGGCAAUCAUAAUGUCAACCCUUGCUCUUCUCGUGUUGAUUAGCAGGAACCUCCUGAGGUCUACAGCGGGUGGCACCACGAGCUCUCUCUUUCUUUCCCGCGCGAUCCGCUUGCACGUUAAAAGGGGGGCUCCUGAGCAUCGCAACUCAGGAGCUCUUACUGGCUCUCCAGCCCUCACCCCCUGGCCUUGUCCACGACAUAGGGACCUGGCAUACCAGCGGCGGCUGAGCUCGCUCGAGGGCCGGGACCUGAGGACAUAGAGCACUAAGGAGAGUGUGGGGAAAAGAGGGGGAGCUCGCAAAGGCCUAACCCAUCUACAUCCCAGCUACCGACGUGCAAGUCCGGCACAUCGCAAAGGGACGAUUCCAUGUUUUUGAGAUAAGUUUCGCACCUGGAAUAGCUAAUUAAUGCGACACCGAAUCUCCACCUAAUGCGGCUCUGUGACGGCGAUGUUGCCUUCCUUUCUCACCUUUCGGCGGCUGCUUGUGCACUAAAGGGGACCUCCUGAGCAUUGCGCCUCAGGGGAUCUUACUGGACCUCGGGCCGCUCACCUCCUGGCCUUGACCACGGCACCGUGACCUGGCAUACCAGCGACGGCUGAAGCCUGCCUGGGGACUGGGACCUAUCAGCGUAGAGCACCAAGUCGUCGCGAGGUUAGAAAGGGGGAACCAAGCCGGGACAGGACAAGCAUUCGCACCGCUUCAUAAUAAGGGUAAUAUCAACAAAAUACAUCGCGGACCCUUUACAUGCCCCCACGGGGUGUUUUCUCAAUUCUUCAUAGGAAAAAAGACGCGAAUCCUAAGGAGCUCUAACUACACGCGCCUCCAUAGCCGACGCCAUCAUCAAUAGUGGGCCACGGGAGACCAACACCAACCCCAUCCAGAUCAGUCGCACCGGUGGCCUGAUGCAGCCGCCUUGCUCCGGGCACGACGCGAGCUCGGGGGCACGUAGCUAUCGUCGCUCGUCUCCGGAGUCACGAAGAGCUCUAGAGAGUCGCCGGACACCCAAGCAUCGCCGCUGCUGCCAGAGGAGCCGUUGGGGAAGCGGGAAGUAGGCCUAGCCCUUGCCACGAUGAUGUCCUGGCUGCCUCCCCUGGGGCAGCACUCCAGCCAGCGGCCUUCUGCGUCAAAGACCUUGAAGAACAUCAAGGAGGCACCAUCGUAUUCGAAGUUAAUCAUGAGGGCACCCCCUGUUCGACAGACCCAGGCAAUCUCGUCCCAGCCUCGGGUCAUGAAGACCUUGCCCGGAGCGACGACUUCAACCUCCGCUCUGGUCACCGGAGCAGCGCAGUCGGUGUGCUGCAGCCAAAGCUCGAGAGGCCCCCUCGGCGGCAUCUCGAAAGCGAAGGAUGGAGGGAAGCGGAUCUAGGUGCUUGGAGGCAUCGCGGCGUGAAGCACGAGCUUGCGAGAGGAGUCCACGGUGUGGACUCCAGGAGCGACGGCGCGCACCGCUAUGGUUCGUCGACCUCGCCUGCGGCGCGGGCGGCGUCGCUUGUCAUCUUCUUCUCCAGGGCCCUCUGCCCGGGCGUACAGGGGUAGCGGGAACCCAGAAGGUGGCCGCUCGCACCAAGGCCUCAUCAUCUCCGGCCUCGCAACCUCAUCGCGACACCGUGGGACCGGCUAUUUCUUCGGCGAGAGUGGGUCAGGCCCCUCCCGGGGAGCCUUUCCUUUCUUUGCGGCCGAGAACCUGCGGAUCGGUGCCUUUGGCGUCAAGAAUGGAGGUGGAGCAAGGGAGAAGAAGCAGAUGGAGCAAGAAGAGAUGGACAACGGGGGCUCUCGCCUCUCCGUACUUAUAGCCCAAGGGAGGCCAAUCGUCGACCUCCACGAUCACGAGUAAUGAUGACUCUUUGUGUAUGCAGCAGGGACUUGUCAAAUCGGGCAGUUGCCGAGGCAGCAUGGGGAAGCGGAGAUGCCCACGUCCAAUCAACCGCCACACGACGACCAAGGCCGCAGGCUGUUGGGGCCCGCGGCGCUCUGCACUUGCCCUUUGGCUUCGCUACUAAGCCAAGUCUGAGCGCGCCUUGGGCCCGAGGGCUACUGUCGGCAUCCUGGGAAUGGGGGUCCCCAGACUUGCCUGCCUGCGGCCUGCAGCGUGGCUCAGCUGUGGCCCAGUGUGGCCCGUCUUCAUCAACCCAAGCUCAAGACUCUCGUGAGGGGCCAAGCCUCGUGGGGCAGAUGGCACAAGGCCUCCUCAGGGGCGGCCUCGCCAGGCAGGCUCGCGAGGAGGCGGAGUGAUCAAGGCAAGGGGUACCUUGCGUGGUGCUCAUGAUGCAAGCCAUGACGAUCAAGACCAGGCGGGCGCCAGGUGGGCGCCAGCCUGCGCAGUGUCCUCGUUUCCUCUUUGGUGCAAAGGGGGCAAGUGCAGGCACGGAGUACCGAGGCAUCAAGCAAAGAUUUCCAUAUCAUUGCAACGAGACCAAGACCAGCAGGACGACAGGAUGGAGGUCACCUCGGAGCCCAAGACGGCGUCAUCGCUAGUGCUUUUGGCAGCCGAAGACCACCUUUAGUCAGGAUAGCUUGUACUAGCUGUCCCCUUUCAAAGUGGCCGUUGUUGGCUUCCUUCCCGCUCAAUAUUUGGGAAGAGGACCAGGCCUCUAUAAAUAGAGAUAGCCACCACAGUAGGAAGGGAUCGAAUCCUUCCUAAGCAGAACACCACACCACCCCAAGAACACCUCUCCUCGCGAGGCUGUUCUUCCUCUGUACUGUUCAUCAUCAGCCCAAGAGGCAAUCCAUCACACCACACACUGGAUUAGGGUAUUACACCACAACGGUGGCCCGAACCAGUAUAAACCUCGUGCCUCUUGUGUUGUUCAUCGUGCUAGCUUAGAAUUGCGGCAAGGCUUUGGGCGUGUUUCGGUAGGGAGAAGAUUUUCCUGCGCACCCCAGAGUUCGAACCUUAAGGGUUUUGCCGGAACCCGAUAUCCGAUAGAGAGUAAUCUGCCUAAGUGACUUUGCCUUUUUCCCCAAAAUGACGCCGUGGAACUGCAUAUUGCUCUCACUGAGCUUGGACAUGAGAAUGCCCAUCCCUUCUAGGGUCUCAGCAUAUAGAAUGUUCAGCCCACUUCCGCCAUCCAUAAGGACCUUGGUUAGUCGGGUGCCCCCAAUGACCGGGUCGACCACCAGCACUUGCCGCCCAGGGGUAGAAACGUGUGCCGGGUGAUCUGACCGGUCGAAUGUAAUGGGAGUCUUCGACCACUUCAAAUACGUCAAAGUUUCCGGAGCAACCAUAUUCACUUCUCUGUUAAUGACUUUGAGUCGACUUUUGUUUUUGACAUCAACAAAAAUCAUCAAGGUAGCUUUGACCUAAGGGUAAUCCUCCUCAUCUUCUUUAUCAAACUCUUUCUCAUUGGAUUGAUUCUCUCGGAAGCUCUGAAUCAGAAGAUGGCACUGCCGAGUGGUAUGCUUGGGUUGAAUCAGGUUUCCCUCCUCAUCUUUCUUCAUGUGUAUGUAACACGGCAAAUCCAUGACAUCUUUUCCUAACUGAUCUUUCACCUUUUUAGGUUUCCACUGUGGUUUCCGCUUUCCUUUGAACUUUCCACCUCCUGCAUUUAGGACCGCAACUUCAGCAGGCCCUAUAGUUUCACCCUUAUGUUUCUACUUCCGACUGGAAUUUCGAGCUCCGGAGUCCUGAACGACUAUUUUCCCUUUGCCGUGGCGGAGUCGGUCCUCCUCUUCAACAUUGGCGUACCGAGUGGCUAUCUCCAUCAUUCUGGUCAGAGUCAUAUCUCCGGACGGACCGAACUUCAGGGUAAGCUCUCUGUACUUGACGCCCUCUUUGAAGGCACAAACCGCCUGGUAAUCUCACACAUUUUCCACCGUAUGAUGAAGGGUGGUCCAUCUCUGGAUGAAAUCUCGCAAAAUCUCAUUCGGUUUUUGAAUACGGUGUUGCAAUUCAGUCAGCCCAGCAGGUCGCUUGCAAGUGCCCUCGAAUGUUUUGAUGAAUACUCAAGCCAAAUCAUUCGAGCAGAAAAUACUCCCAGGGGCUAACUAUGUCAACCAAGCUUUGGCCAACCCCUCAAGCAUCAAGGGGAGGUGUUUCAUAGCUACAUCAUCAUUGCCACCACCGAUCUGCACAACCACUCGGUAGUCUCCCAGCCAGGUGUCUGGCUUCAAUUCCCCAGUGAACUUACUCAAGCCCGCUGCCAAUCUGAAGUUGGGAGGGAUCUCAGCUGAUUGAAUGGCCAUACUAAAACCUUUGGGCCCGGAAAUGAAUGCUCUGUUCCCAGUCGUACGAUCUCUGCCCUGCCCUUCUCUGUUGGCUCGGCCUCUGUCGACCAAAGCUUCACAAGGAGUGAUCUCGCAUCGAAUCCCAGCUCUCUUGGGUCGACCGGGGCUCUCCGCUCGUCACCAUACGGGUGUCUAUCAUCAUAGCAUCAUGGCACAUACGAUCCGCCCCUCGGAGGGGGAGUAAGCACUCGACGGUGGUCAUCACGGGAACCCUGACAAUCAAACUGUCUAUGGCCCCGCUCCAGGUACUGGUCCUGGCGGGGACCACGAUCUUCCCGAUGCCUGGGUGACCUUGGACUAUGUGCCGACUGAACUGUGUCUACAACCACUGACCUGCUAUGUAUUCUGUUACGCGACUUAGAAACGGCAGAAUUCUGUUCCCCAGUGGCCUUAAGCAAUGCACGGAUCUGCUCUAAACCUCUACCAGAUUCUGAACAUGACGACUGAAUUGUCUCUGCUAUGCGUGCUGCUGCUGCAACAUUUUGAAUCGGAGUUCGGUAUACCUGAGUUUCAGUCGGAAAAAACCGUGUGGCCCGUCGACUGGAUUCGAGAAUCUGCUGUCGAGCCCGCUCGUCGAGUGCCUUCUGCAAAUUGUCCAGACACGUACGCUCAGCCAAGGUGGCCAAGCACGCAGCGUCCGAGGCUCGAGCCUCGAGGGUCUCCUCAAUGAUGGGGGUCUGGAGCGCCUGAACGUUGUGUCGAUGCAACUCUUCCCUCUGCUCCAGGGUGAGGGCCUCAGGGACGUACUCCUCAUGCCCUUGAGAUGGGCCAACGUCGUCAUCGCCACCACCAUUGCGGCGAAAUCCGGGCGGGCUGUGCUGGGAAGUGACCACGAGAACUUCUGUCGCUGGGUCAUUGCUUUCGCACUCGGAGAGGGAAUCCGAGUGACCAGCCGGCAAAUCAAACACACAUAAAGAGAUUCGUCGGGCUNNNNNNNNNNNNNNNNNNNNNNNNNNNNNNNNNNNNNNNNNNNNNNNNNNNNNNNNNNNNNNNNNNNNNNNNNNNNNNNNNNNNNNNNNNNNNNNNNNNNNNNNNNNNNNNNNNNNNNNNNNNNNNNNNNNNNNNNNNNNNNNNNNNNNNNNNNNNNNNNNNNNNNNNNNNNNNNNNNNNNNNNNNNNNNNNNNNNNNNNNNNNNNNNNNNNNNNNNNNNNNNNNNNNNNNNNNNNNNNNNNNNNNNNNNNNNNNNNNNNNNNNNNNNNNNNNNNNNNNNNNNNNNNNNNNNNNNNNNNNNNNNNNNNNNNNNNNNNNNNNNNNNNNNNNNNNNNNNNNNNNNNNNNNNNNNNNNNNNNNNNNNNNNNNNNNNNNNNNNNNNNNNNNNNNNNNNNNNCUGGCGAGCCACCGCAUGCUUCACCCACCGCUGGAGCCGCGAAUGACCGGACCGCUUGCAACGGCGAACAACGGGAAGCGAUGAUGUCACCAGGGCUGACUGAUACUGAGUCGACGGCUGUUGAAGAAGGAUGCCACAAGCACUCACACGAAAGUGCGUUGCCCCAUGGACGGGGAGGGCCUCGACAUCGAGGGGAGCUUCAUGAAGCCAGGCAGAGUCAUCGGUGAUGAUAACAAGCGCACCGAGAUGGAUCUCGUGGCCCAACGCCAAACCACCGCCGGAAACCAUGUUGCCGGAGAACGAAAUAUGCAACCUCACCGGAAGUCACUUAGACGCCUGCCCCAUGGUGGGCGCCAACUGUCGUGGGAAUAAGUCUGGCAGUAAGAAUAGGGGGUACGUAUGAGGAGGCAAGGUCCUAGCUAUGGUGAGGUUGUACAUGCAAGUUUACGAGUUCAUGCCCUUCUCAGAGGAAGUAAAAGCCCUACGUCUCGGUGCCCUGAGGCUGUGUCGACUGGAUAUGCGUGAAUGUUACAAGGGUUGCAAACCCUUGUGCUAGAUGAGGAGGGUGGCUUAUAUAGAGUGCGCCAGGACCCUCCCUGACCUCUGUUACACAUGGUUCAAUGUGAGUUAAGAUGGGGCGUUGCUGGUAAUGCUUGCCAUAAAUGAACAUUAAGACUACAGGGUGAACGCCUGACCGUUGCCAUCUUGGGAUGACCUUAGAUCUUCUAUACUCUGAGUGGUUCUUCAUACGGUCGAGUGACUAUGCUGUGGUCGAGUGGAAUUGGGGUAUCCGAGUGGAACCUUCUGUCGAAUGGAUUGCACUUCAGGAUGAUUCCAGUCGGUAUUCUCUGCUGGUCCUUGAGUGCCUUUGGUUGUAGGUCAGUGUCCUUGGGUGGGGUUUCUAGGUCAGGCCUAGGAACCUACCCUUGGUACAUGUCCUCGUCACUCUCUACUUGAUUGCAAGCGUGCAAUCUUCACGAUCCAGCAGCGAUUCGUCGCCCAGAGCUAAUCGUUGCUGGAGAAAUAGAGGGAGGAGAUUAGAACCACAUGGGGCUUCUAAUUAUGAGGAUUAGAUGAUUAGUCUAGCUCUAAUUAGUUAAUUAGGACCAACUAGAACUAGAGCGAGAACUAUAACUAGAAGAACUCGAGGACGCUCCAAAACUUGUAUAUCAAAACAGCACCAAACCUCAAGUGUAUAUAGGUUAGAGGGGAGAGGGAGGGGUGCCAUCCCUCCUUGGUGCGUGGCCAGGGGGAGGAGGAGUAGCACUCUUCCCCUUCCCCAAUUCGGCCUCCUUCCAUAGGGAAAGGGGCGCCUCCCACUUGGGCCCUUAUGGCCCAAGUUGCUUUCCAUCUCUUUGCCUUUUAAGGCCCGUUGAUAUUAAAUUAAAUAUAAAGUUGUUCUAAAUACUCUCGGACCAUUACAUAUAUAUAUAUAUAGGGUGGGUCUAUUAUGAUAACACCCUUAGGACCUUAUUCUGCAGCUCAAAAUGCUUAUUCUGAUAACACCCCAACCCACCUCCCGCACGACCAUGAUUAUAAUCCCUCCACCUCCUUAUCCACCCACGACCUCUCCCCUCCGCCUCCUUCCUUCAGCCAGGGCUGCGCCCGCCCCACCCCGCACUACCUCCUUCCACCACCUCCCUCCCCUGCAUCGCCGCACCACCUCCCUCCUCCGUGCCGCACCACCACCUCCCUCCCCCGUGACGCUGUCCUACCUUCCUCCCACCGCGCCACGCACCCGCCACCACGAAGCGUGCCGGCGGCCGAUCUGCCACGGCCGGCUUCCCCAAACCACUGUCGUCGCCCCGAUGACCUCCUUCAGAGCGCCGGUGGUCGGAUCCAUGGCACCCCGCACUGGUGACCUCGUUCCACACUGUGGUCGCCAGAUCCAGAGCCCUCCCCUGAGCCGUUGACCUCCUUCUGCACCGACGUGGCCGGAUCCAGCGGACCUCCAGCUGCCGCCAGAUGCAGGCGCCCCGGCCGCCGCACCUUUGCCCCCAGGGGGCUCCUGCCCCCUACCUCAUCUGCCCACUGGGUUCUCUGCCGCAGGCCACCAUCCCCAUGGCGGGUUCAGAGAGUAGGAUGAGGGUGCUCCACCACACACAGGUGGGGGCACGCGCGGGGCACGGAGGAUGGCGAGCGGCAUCGCGCGCACUGGAAGGGCCAGGAGGUGCUGCACCUCGCAUCUUCGGCCAAAUCCCACCGCCAGUAAGACAAGAUCCCACUCCUACUCCCCUCCCACCCCCUGCCCCCUUUCUCCACCUCACGCUUGCAGUCCAUUAGGCGCGCGCUGCAGUUCCUUUUGCUUUUGUUUUUUUUACAAAGAAAUUGUUUUUUGUGCAGAUGGGAUGGGCGUCGCUGGCGUGCAAUUUGCAUUUGAUGUGCUCGCGAUUCAGAGCACUAGCGCAUCAUGCUGCUCACAGGGUCUCACCAAUGAAGGCUCGUGUUCUGUAGUUCUCUUGCACAUCAGUUGUGGCUUCUGUGGUCGUGGUGCUCACUGGUGCCUCAUCCCUAUGUAGUUUUUUCGAUGGAUCUCUCUGUAGGGUGAGAGUGCUUCAUGUAGUUUGGUAUCUGUAACCGUGCAGUGCAACAAACAGGGCUUGCGUGGGACAAAGUAGUGCGGCAUCGGUAGCCGAACAAAUCAGCUUAACACAAGGUGGUUUGUUGGAUUCAUUCAUGUUUGUCCCAGCAGUGUAGUUGACUUGUAGCAGUUCGGGGUGUCUCCCGUUGCAGCUUGGUUGGGUCGUCGGUGCAGUAGGUGAGCAUGUGAGAGGACCAUGCGCAUCGAAUUUGAUUCUGGCCGUGCAACACUGCAGUACAGAUGUGUGCGGCAUGCAUUUUUCUGCAUUUUACUUGGUGUGGACGUGCAGCUCGGCGACUGUGGAUGUGUAGCUCGAAGGCGUGCGUGUUGCGGUUCAGUGCUCGUUUAGGUGCAGCUCGUCCUCGCGGGCGCACUGUAGUUCUUUAUUAUUGAUUUUCCAGAUUUACAAAGACGUUGUAAGAAAAAUAUUCAAAACUCACUCGACUAAAAAUUCAACACAUGCAGUGCAUUCGGUUUUCAGACGUGGUUCACUUUUGAGAGUGAUGCUGUUCACUUGUGCCGAACAUGAAAGUGCUAAAAAUUUAGCGCAACAACAAAGAUAGUAAUGAGGUUCACUUCGAUAUAUGUCGUGGUUCACUUGCCUCCUCUCUGCGGUCCACUCUUGUUCAAAAAAAAUUGAAAAAAAGACAACAAAAACUCGUCUGAGAAAAAUUUUCAUUUGAGAAAAGAAGUCAUGAAGUUCGCUUGCCCGUCCGAUGCAGUGCGGUUUUCAGUCUAAAAGCAGUGCAGUUUUCUUCCUCAUCUUCAAAAUUUACGUCCCACAAAAAAGAAACCAUGCAGUUCUCUUACCCGGGUGAUGCAGUUUGGUUUUUUAUCCGUUGCAAUGCGGUUUUCAGUCGGAUGAAGUACCCACGUCGAUUUGGGUGUCGCGAAAAACAGAGUGUCCUCAUUUCGGUAAAUUCGAAAUUCCUCUUAAACCGUAAAGAAUUAGAGAGAGUGUUCUACAUGAAAGAGUUGCGUAUCAUCGAUAUCUUUCCAACAGCAUAUCGUUUGAAUCAUUUUGACCAGCGGUUUGCAAAAAUUUCGCCAAAAACGGCCGCUGCCACUCGUCGUCCGCCGCAUGGUUUUCAAAAUUAACUUAAAACCGUAAGAAAUUUCAAAAAUAUUUCAACAUAUGAAAGUUGCGCCUCGUUCGUAGCUUUCCAACGGCGUAUCACACGCCUUGUUUCGACAAACGGUUCAAAAACUGGAGCGAAAAUAGUACCAAAAAUUUGAAAAACAGAAUUCCACGAUUUAGUAAAUUUGAAACUGCUCUUAAACCGUAAGGACUUAGAGAAACAUUUAUAUAUGAAAAAGAUGCUCCUCGACGAUAUCUAUCCAACGGCGUAUCAUUUGCUUCAUUCCGACGAGCGGUUUAGGAAAAAAACGCGAAAAACGCUCGCUGCCACUCGUCAUGGGCCGCACCAUUUUCAAAACUGCUCUUAAACCGUGUGGAAUCUCGAAACGUGUUCAACAUGUCGAAGUUGCGCCUAAUCCAUAGAUUUUCAAUGGUAUAUUACACGCCUCAUUCCGAUAAAUGAUCAAAAAAUUAGAGCAAAAACAGUACCGAAAAAAUAACGCGUACAGCUUUUUGCGACGAGAAGUUCACUCGUGUGAGUACUGCAGCACACUUGGUUCAAAGAAUGACGCGCACUUGCGUUCAGCGUGCAGUGCGGAAGUGGUGUGCAGAAUAGUUAUUCUGCUAAUAUUAGCAGAAUAGACUGUCUGUAUAUAUAUAUAUAUAUAUAUAUAUAUAUAUAUUAACAUCCUCGAAAAUAUUUUCACCUAUAUAUUAUUUGUCGGUAAUACCCGGUAUUACCCAAUGAUCACUGAAACCCUUCAGGUGACUCUGAAACGCUCCCGAUCCUCUUGGAACUAUUCCAAAUAUUUAUGAACAAUUCCACAAAUAUAUUCUCAUCACUCCCGUCCUACUAACACUCAGCAGAUCGUAACUGCCUUAAGCUUGUGACCCCAUAGGUUCGGUAACUCAUAGACAUGAACAAAACCCCUUCGUUUAAUGACCGGUAGCGGAACCAUGGAUGUCCAUAUCGGUCCCUGUGAGCAGACGAAUGAUAUUUGAGUGAACCUUUGGUUAUCAUGUGAUGUUCCCUUUGCUUCCUAAUACUUCACAAAAUCCGGGAUGCAUCGGUAUCCUCCUGAGUCAUCACCAUGCUCACUAUACCUUUAUCCUUGUUACCGGCUUUGUUCUUCUUUCUCGUUAUUGUAUUCUGGCAUCCCCAUGGUGAAGUCAGCUGUGUCUGGCCGGACGAUGAUGGAUGCCAUCACUCCAAGACCUAACAAUAUCUCUCCAUCAUCGGAGGAGAAAAUCCAACCCUCGAGCUAUGUGGCUACUUGUCAAACUUUUCGAUGAACGUGUAAGUUAUAGUUAUGAUCACCGUGUUACAGGUAAUAUUUGAGCAACCCGAAAGCCCACCGUACGGGAAGAAGUGACCAUGAUACUCUCAUGGUCUGAGGAGCAAAAUCACACAUUAACACUCCAUGUUAUUACAAUUGAUUACAUAUGAUAUUAACUCAAUUCAUAACAAACAAAACUGGGUUGAUUCAAUAUGAUGGUUCUUCCAACGUCAUAAUCUCAAUGUUGUUUUGGGACUAUUGUUACACUUAACGAUAUCUUAAGAUCCGGAAAACAUGAUCACCAACAACACUUGAGCUAGUCCCAGAGGCAAGACUAGAAACCUUUUAUUUUACCGUUUACCAUUCCACACGUGCAUACGACUUUUCCACUGAAUCACAUAUUCCAGGAUCAUAGUAGUUAUAGCGUGAAAUAUAAACACUUAAUUAUGAACAUGGAAAUAAAAUAAUACAAUAUUAUUGCCUCUAGGGCGUAUUUCCAAUAGUCUCCCACUUGCAUUGGAGUCAAUAAUCUAGUUACACUUUUAACUUUUACACCAAUGGCAAUCCAGUGUCAGACCAUGCUUUGCUUGUGGUAUAGACUUCGUCCUAUCGAAUAUGACAAUUUUCAGAUCCGUGUGUAUCAUUUGCAUUUCAAUGCAUCUAUUAUGCUUUCACUGAAUUCAUAAUUUAUGUGAAACAAGCUUAGUAUAUAUUGAAUCAUUGGCAGGACCUUUGGUUCCUUAGAUUGAGGCAUAGAACCACUAUUGAGAACAAUGUUCUAUUUGCACAAUCAUCAAGAAACCAUACUAAGUUCAUAAAUGAACCUUUGAUUAUCACCCUCUAUUGUUGCUUCUAAAGUGACAAUAUGCUUAGAAUUCUGUUGUAGAAUUCACCAAAAUAACUUUCUUGGACCAAUCCAGCUCAUUGUGCCACCAUAAAUCACUUAAUUGAAAUCAAAAUUUGCUUGGGGCACCGAUUGAAGAUUUUUGUCAAUGUACUACUUAUAUCAAGCAUGCAUUGUGUUGGGAAUCGUUGCAUGAAAAAAAAAAUCUACGCACAUGCAAUGAUCUAUCCAUGGAGAUGCAUAGCAACGAGGGGGAGAGUGUGUUUACUUAUGCUCGUAGACCGUAAGUGGAAGCGUUUCACAACGCGGUUGCUAUAGUCAAACUUCUUUGCGCUUCAACCGAUCAAGUACUGAACACAUGGCACCUCCACGUUCUGCACACGUUCAGCUCGGUGACGUCUCUCGCCUUCUUGAUCCAGCAAGACGUUGAUGUAGUAGUUGAGUUCCGUCAGCACGAUGGCGUGGUGACGGUGAUGGGGAAGUGAUCUCCGUAGGGCUUCGCCUAAUCACUACGAAAAUAUGACCGGGGGUGUGAACGGUGGAGGGGGCGCCGCACAUGGCUAGGCAAUUGUCUGGUGUGUGCUAGGCCGCCCCAUCCUCAUAUAUAUAGGUGGGAGGGAGAGGGGAGAGGCCAAGGGGCACCCCAAGUAGGUCCCAAUCCUACUUGGGCUCCUCCCUUGGUCGCGCCGCCACCUGCCAUAUUUGUUGGAGGGGGAAGGAAAGAGGGGGGGGGGGAAGGAAGGGGGAAUCCUAUUCCACUCUUUCCUUUCCUUUCCUUUCCCCUCUUUCCGUCUCCUCCUAGGAUGGCCCAUAUGGGGGGCGCACCAGCCCCUUGUGGCUGGUGAGUUUCCCCUCUUGGCCCAUAAGGCCCAUAUCUUUUGUCGGGGGUGCCUGGAACCCCUUCCAGUGACCUGAUAAGUACCCGGUACCCCUCGAAACACUUCCGGUGUCCGAAUACCAUCGUCCUAUAUAUCAAUCCAUCAUCAUCACCACCUUCUUCACCAGCAAAGGAGACAUAAUUACAUAGGUAUGGGCACUCCCCUUGGCAACUGCCAAGCUUGGGGGAGUUGCCCUGGUAUCGUAUCACCAUCACACUCCUAUCUUUAAUGUUUUACUACGUUUGAUCCUUUUGGUAAUAUCUUGAUCUAGUAGAAAAAAGUUUUGGUACGAAUUAGUUUUGAGUUUUGCUUUGUGAUCCCUCUAUGUAAUCGAGUCCGUGAGCUAUAUAUAAUAAAGAUUAGUGUUGAGUCAAGGGCUUUGCUAUCUUGCUAUGAUCUUAAGUGCAUAAAAGAGUAAAAAGAAAUCAAGAGAUCAUAUUGAUCUUAUGGAAAGUAAUGACUUCACAUAUAGAGAGUAUGAUGAUUAAACUUGUUGAGAGUUGGCAAACAUAGUUUUGGUCAUCGUUGCAAUUAAUAGGAAGUAAUAAAGGAAGAGAGGUUUUCACAUAUAAAUAUACUAUCUUGGACAUCUUUUAUGAUUGUGAGCACUCAUUAAAGUAUGACAUGCUAAAGAGUUGAUGUUGGACAAGGAAGAUGAUGUCUACUACACAACCUUCCUCUUGUAGACGUUGUUGGGCCUGCAAGUGCACAUGUUUGUAGGAUAGUAGCAAAUUUCCCUCAUGUGGGUGACUAAGGUUUAUCAAUCUGUGGGAGGCGUAGGAUGAAGAUGGUCUCUCUCAAACAACCCUGCAACCAAAUAACAAAGAGUCUCUUGUGUCCCCAACACACCCAAUACAAUGGUAAAUUGUAAAGGUGCACUAGUUCGGCGAAGAGAUGGUGAUACAAGUGCAAUAUGGAUGGUAGAUAUAGGUUUUUGUAAUCUGAAAUUGUAAAAACAGCAAGGUAACAAGUGGUAAAAGUGAGCGUAAACGGUAUUGCAAUGGUAGGAAACAAGGCAUAGGGUUCAUACUUUCACUAGUGCAAGUUCUCUCAACAAUAUUAACAUAGAUAGAUCAUAUAACAAUCCCUCAACAUGCAACAAAGGGUCACUCAAAAGCCACUAAUAGCAGAGAACAAACGAAGAGAUUAUGGUAGGGUACGAAACCACCUCAAAGUUAUUCUUUCGGAUCAAUCUAUUCAAGAGUUCGUACUAGAAUAACACCUUAAGACACAAAUCAACCAAAACCCUAAUGUCACCUAGAUACUCCAUUGUCACCUCAAGUAUCCGUGGGCAUGAUUAUACGAUAUGCAUCACACAAUUUCAGAUUCAUCUAUUCAACCAACACAAAGUACUUCAAAGAGUGCCCCAAAGUUUCUACCGGAGAGUCAAGACGAAAACGUGUGCCAACCCCUAUGCAUAGUUUCAUGGGCGGAACCCGCAAGUUGAUCACCAAAACAUACAUCAAGUGGAUCACGUGAAUGUCCCAUUGUCACCACAGAUAAGCACAGCAAGACAUACAUCAAGUGUUCUCAAAUCCUUAAAGACUCAAUCCGACAAGAUAACUUCAAGAGGAAAACUCAAUUCAUCACAAGAGAGUAGAGGGGGAGAAACAUCAUAAGAUCCAACUAUAAUAGCAAAGCUCGCGAUACAUCAAGAUCGUGCCAUAGAGAGAACACGAGAGAGAGAGAUCAAACACAUAGCUACUGGUACAUACCCUCAGCCCCGAGGGUGAACUACUCCCUCCUCGUCAUGGAUAGUGCCGGGAUGAUGAAGAUGGCCACCGGUGAUGGGUUCCCCCUCCGGCAGGGUGCCGGAACAGGCUCCCGAGAGGUUUUUGGUGGCUAUAGAGGCUUGCGGCGGCGGAACUCCCAAUCUAUCUUCUUAUUUGAUGGUUUUAGGGUAUAAGGGAAUAUAUAGGUGAAAGAAGUCGGUCGGGGGAGCCAUGAGGGGCCCACGAGACAGGGGGCGCGCCCAGGGGGUGGGCGCACCCUCCUAUCUCCUGGCCUCCUCGAAGCUUCCCUGGCUUGUACCCCAAGUCUCCCGGAUCAUGUUCGUUCCAAAAGUCACGCUCCCGAAGGUUUCAUUCCGUUUGGACUCCGUUUGAUAUUCCUUUUCUUCGAAAUACCGAAAUAGGCAAUAAAACAACAAUAUGGGUUGGGCCUCCGGUUAGUAGGUUAGUCCCAAAUGUAAUAUAAAAGUUUAUAAUAAAGCCUGUAAUCAUUCAAAACAGAUAAUAAAAUAGCAUGAAUGCUUCAUAAAUUAUAGAUAUGUUGGAGACGUAUCAACAUCCCCAAGCUUAAUUCCUACUCGUCCUCGAGUAGGUAAAUGAUAAAGAAAGAACUUAUGAAGUGUGAAUGCUAGAAGGUGCACAAGUUUGAUCAAUGAUAAUUUCAAUCACCUUUUCUAGCAUGAUUAUAUGUCAUAACAGUAGUUCAUCUCAUAAAACUUCUCAAGAUCAAGUAACAAGCUAUUCACAUGUUAGAGCAUAGACCAUAAACUUUCUUGAAAACUAGCAAACUUCAUUCCUAGUCAUCAAACAAUUACAAUUCAUCUUAUUUUCAGGAAGGGUCUAUGUCAAAGCUUUGAUUUAGCAAACUCCACAUACUCAACUAUCAUAUAGUCUUCCAUGAUUGCUAACACUCACGCAAUACUAAUGGUUAUGGAGUUUUAAUCGGACAUUGAGAAAGAUAGGGGCUUAUAAUUUCGCCUCCCAACGUAUUAACCUUUGGGUGAUGUCAACAAUAAUAGUUCAUGCUAACUUACAUCCAAUUGGAUAUAUAUAUAUAUAUCAAGAUCUUUCCAACAUGACGUGCUUGUCAAAGGAUAAAAUGAAAAAGGGAAAGGUGAAGAUCACCUUGACUCUUGCGUAAAGUAAAAGAUAGGCCCUUCGCAAAGGGAAGCAGAGGUUGUCAUGCGCUUUUAUGGUUGGAUGCACAAAAUCUUAAUGCAAAAGAAUGUCACUUUAUAUUGCCACUUGUAUAUGUGUAACACCCCCAGUGUCAUGCUACAGUAACCAUCUCUGAUUAAGCUAAUCAUUUUUCCAAAACAGUGCUUAAUCACCUUUGUUCAAUAUCCCAUUUCAAAUUCCAGUCAAUUCAAAUUCAAGUGAAGUUUGAAGUUGCUCAAAAGUUGUUGGGAAAAUGUUCAUCAUCUGCCAAAACUUCCAUAACAAUUAUUUGUUAAGGAACACAACAUCAAUUUUGUGCAAAGAUGAGCAUUAGCAAUUAUAACAGCACCAAUUCAGCAUUUUUAAAUGCUAUCCUAUUUAUGAAAAAUAUCAAAUGAAUUAUUCUGGUCUCCAAAAUAUUUAUGGCACUGUCUAUAAUCACCAGGGAUUUAAUGGGCUCCUCCCAAAUUUUUCCUAAGUGAAAUAGUUGACCAAAUAAUUCCCUUUCUCUCUCUGUUAAUAAAUAAAAGCUAAAACAGAAAAGAAAAAUUGUUUACAGUAAAAGAAAAAGGAAAAGCCCCCCACCCCUCAACUGGGCUGAUUGGCCCAGCUGGCCACCGCGCCCCCCCUUGGGCCUCAGCCCACCUAGCCGACCCAAGCCGACCAGCUCCCCUCCCGCGUCGUGUUCACUGUGCGGGCGACCGAGCGCCCGUGCCUGUGGUCGUCGCCCGACCGGCUCGCCGCCCCACGCCGCGGCAACGCCAGGGAUAAGGACGAGCCCUCCCCCCUCGACCUCGUCCUCGUCAGCCCCCCUCCCCGUGUAGAUAUUNNNNNNNNNNNNNNNNNNNNNNNNNNNNNNNNNNNNNNNNNNNNNNNNNNNNNNNNNNNNNNNNNNNNNNNNNNNNNNNNNNNNNNNNNNNNNNNNNNNNNNNNNNNNNNNNNNNNNNNNNNNNNNNNNNNNNNNNNNNNNNNNNNNNNNNNNNNNNNNNNNNNNNNNNNNNNNNNNNNNNNNNNNNNNNNNNNNNNNNNNNNNNNNNNNNNNNNNNNNNNNNNNNNNNNNNNNNNNNNNNNNNNNNNNNNNNNNNNNNNNNNNNNNNNNNNNNNNNNNNNNNNNNNNNNNNNNNNNCUCCCCCCAGAUCCCUCCUUGUUCUCCCCCUCGUUCCCCAUCGACGCCCGAGCGCGGUCGCCGCCAUUCUCCGUCGUCCCCGCGGCCACCGGCGUCCCCGAGCCUGGAAACCGAGCCUGUGAGGUGCGCCGUACUCCGCUUCACCAUCCUUGUCCAUCAGCUGGAGUCGGGGAGGUCGGCGACGUCGGCAUCGCCCUCUUCCCCUUCUCGGUGGUCACCGACGAUCACCGGAGCCACAGGCCUCCCUCUGUGCUCCCGAACCCCAAGAGGCCUCCGUGUGCCUGCCGCGUAAGCUCCGCAUCCUUCCUCCCCGUCCUUGCUCCGUUUCAUCCUUCCCUAGCUAGCUAGACAUAAGCGCCGGCUCCGCCGUCCGCCAUUGCUGCCACACACGAGAUCUCGAGCUCCUCCUGCUCCGUCUAGUCCCCGUAGCGCACUCCUGGAGGACUGCUGCUCUCGCCUAGCCCUUUCGCCUGAGCUGUAGCACGCCGUAGCAUCUUUUCCACCGUCGACCGUAGCCGCUCCGUUGCGGACCUCGUCGCCGGCGACGUUUCCGGCCAGGUCCGACGAUGCCACCACCACCACUCGACGCGCGGUCGAGUGACCGUUCGAACGUGCCUAGCGGCACCCCUUUCUGUGCCCCGUACGCGUUUUCUGGCCAACUCCGGCGACGCACCGCCGCGGGUAGGCUCGCCGGCGUCACUCCGUCGGCUCCGCUGACCUGGCGCCGAUGUGGCACCGCCUGGGCCACUGGCCAGUGGACCCAAUGGGUCCCGCUGGCCCGGUUGACCCUGUCCACCAGAUGACUGGUUUUGACCUGUCGCUGACAUGCGGGCCCCACUCCCUUAAUCAAUGUUUUAUUUAUUUAAAUUAUUUAGUUAACUUAAUGAGACACUGACAUGUGGGGCCCAGUUGCCAAUUAACCUCAUAGUAGUUUUAAAUAAACACUGUUAAGGCCCCUGUCCAUGACAAGUGGGUCCCACUGGUCAUUUUGACCAGUCAACCGCACUGUUGACUGCUGACGUCUCUCCUAGGUCAUGCUGACGUCAUAUUCCAUUUCUGUUAAUAUAGAUAAUUCUAGAAUAUGUUUAAAACUUAGAAAAUCUAUAUAAAAUAAUCUGUAACUCAGAUGAAAAUGUUUUCUAUAUUAAAGUUGCUCAGAAAAAUCCAACGAAUUCGAAUAUGCGGUCCGUUCAUCUGUCACAUGCCUCUAGCAUGCUGAACAUGAAACAUUCCCCCUUCGGUCAUCUGUCUGACACAGGUCCGGAACCGGGAAUACAUUCCCGGUUGAAUUCCCCCUUCACCUAUAUCGUGUAGCCAUGCGUUAGGUCACACCCGGCGUAGCAUAUUGCCAUGUUAUGCUUUGUGAUGCUAUGUUUGCUUUAUAUUUACUGUUUCUUCCCCCUCAUCUCUCCGGUAGACCCCAAGACCGAUGCUGCCCUUGUGAUCGACUACGUCGACGACGAUCCCUCCUUGCCAGAGCAACCAGGCAAGCCCCCCCUUUGAUCAUCCCGAUAUCGCCCAUUCCUUUCUCUCAUGCUUGCAUUAGAUUUUGCUACUGUUAUUGUAUGCUCCUACUCUAAUGCAUAGCCUGCUUUUGUAUCUGUUGUUGUACCUUACCUACUUAUCCUAAACUGCUUAGUAUAGGUUGGUUAGUGAUCCAUUAGUGACCCCACCUUGUCCUUGUUGCCCCUGCUUCAUCAUUCAAGACCCGAUCAACGGGAUUGAAGACCAGGCCCCGGCACCGCACAUCACUUUCCCCUUAGUUGCUCGACACUGCUGGGUUACUAUCGAGUGCCGAGGGUGAGACCUCUACAACACUUCUGAUGUUAACCCUGUAGUGUAGCUAUUCGGUCGUGGUCAUCGAGGGUGAUUCCGCCUUAACCACUUCCGAUAUGACUCUGUCGUGCAACCCCUCAAGUGUGAACCUCGGGGGUGAUUCCUCUUACGUUCACCUUGAUGAUUACAUUGAGUGGAAUUCACCGGGGGUGAUUCCUCGGGUUUUCCCCUUGAUGUUUAGACACACAGUUACUAUGAUUACUAUGACUUUAUAGUGAACCAUGUUACUAAAGACGGGUCGACCCUGAGGGGUACCCGCGCGAGCAUAGUUGCGAGUGAUGAGGAGUCGGGUUGACCUGGAAGGUGCCCGUGAGGUAAUUACGAGGCAUGGCCGGGCAUUCUUAGCCCUUGCCGCAAGUCCUCGAGACGGGGCAACGGGGUCACAUCUUUCGUGAGUCUCUGCUUGUUACCGCGCGUUCCUAAUCCACUACGAUUUGGAUAUUUGAUCCGAGGGGCCUCUGGCCUGAUAGCACUAACCAUCACGUGGGCAUAGUAUGGGCGUUCUGCAUCGUAUGCAUCAGCCAAAGCUUAAUAGACGUCAGCGACUGAGCGGCGCGCGCCGGGUUGGACUGGUUACGCCUUCUCUUGUAUAAGGGAGGCUAGGUCUGCUCACCGGCCGCGUACGCAACGUGCAGGAGUUUCCGGGGAGAUGGCCCAUGACCCCUGGGGGCAUAGGUUUAGUCCGGCGUGCUGACCUCUCUAUUAAGCCUAGGUCGGGUUGCGGCGUAUUGUUUGGCCGAGGCCGGGCAUGACCCAGGAAAGUGUGUCCGGCCGGAGUUAAUCAAGUGUGGUGGGUAAGUUGGUGCACCCCUGCAUGGAAGAAAGCAUCUAUCGAUAGCCUGUCCUACGGUAACGGACGCUCGGAGUUGUAUCCCGAUCGAUAAAACUAGAACUAGAUACUUGUGAUGAGAAUUGGAUGGUGAUGAGUUAUGGAUUGUGAUGAUAACUGGAUAGUAUGGCUCUGGGAUUUCUUUCUCGCAGGGAGUGGAGAAAGGAUCUCCGGCCGAGGUUGAUAACACUACUUCUACCUUACAUUGUGCUACUCUACUCCUCCUAUUUGCUGCAAGAUGGUGGUUUCCAGAAGAUGCUAGUCUUUGAUAGGACUAGGCCUUCUCUCUAUUCUGGCAUUUCUGCAGCCCAGUCCACCUAUAUAGCCUUCCUUUGAUAAUGUUGCAUAUGUAGUGUAGAUCCUUGCUUGCGAGUACUUUGGAUGAGUACUCACGGUUGCUUUGCUCCCCCUUUCCCCCCUUCUUUCUUCUUUCUGGUUGUUGCAACUAGAUGGUGGAGUCCAGGAGCCAGAUGCCACCUUUGAUGACUGCUACUACCCCGAGGGCGCCUACUACCAUGUGACGGAGACCGUCGAUGACCAGGAGUAGUUAGGAGGCUCCCAGGCAGGAGGCCUUGCCUUUUCGAUCGUAGAUGCUUUUGUGCUAGCCUUCUUAAGGCUAACUUGUCUAACUUAUGUCUGUACUCAGAUAUUGUUGCUUCCGCUGACUCUUGUGUAAUCGAGCUUAUGUAUUCGAGCCCUCGAGGCCCCUGGCUUAUAAUAUAAAGCUUGUAUUAUUUUAAUUUGUGUCUAGAGUUGUGUUGUGAUAUCUUUCCGUGAGUCCUUGAUCUUGAUCGUACACAUUUGCGUGUAUGAUUAGUGUACGAUUGAAUCGAGGGCGUCACAAUAUGGACCUUUAUUAUGCAGUCCGUCGCUUUUAUUGCUUCCAUAACAAGAUCGUAUAAAGCUUAUUUUCUUCACACUAAUAAAUCAUACAUAUUUAGAGAGCAUUUUUAUUGCUUGCACCGAUGACAACUUACUUGAAGGAUCUUACUCAAUCCAUAGGUAGGUAUGGUGGACUCUCAUGGCAAAACUGGGUUUAAGGAUAUUUGGAAGCACAAGUAGUAUCUCUACUUGGUGCAAGGAAUUUGGCUAGCAUGAGGGGGAAAGGCAAGCUCAACAUGUUUGAAUGAUCCAUGACAAUAUACUUUAACUGAGAUGUGAGAAAGCAUAACCCAUUACGUUGUCUUCCUUGUCCAACACCAACUCUUUAGCAUGUCAUACUUAAUGAGUGCUCACAAUUAUAAAAGAUGUCUAAGAUAGUAUAUUUAUAUGUGAAAUCUCUCUUCCUUCAAUAUUCUUUCAUGAAUUGUUCAAAUGACCAAUACAAUGCUUGCUAACCUUCAAUAAAUUAAAAACCUCUACUUCUUAGAUGUGAAGUCAUUACUCCCCAUGGGAUAAGCAAAUGAGACAUAUAUAAUUUCAGAUUUGUGACAUUCAACUCAUUCAACCAUUUACUCAUAGGAUAUAAGUGAAGCACACGAGUGAAUGACAAACUACUCCAAAAAUAUAUAAGUGAAGAUCAAUGAGUAGCUAAAUAAUGAUGUAACUAUGUGAAGACUCUCUCUCAUUUAAUAAUUUCAGAUCUUGGUAUUUUAUUCAAGCAGCAAUCAAAAAAUAAAUAAAAUGACAUUGCAAGGAUAGCACAACUCAAGUGAAGAAACAAAAACUUAGGUUCAACCGAUACUAACCGAUAGUUGUUGAAGAAGAAAGGUGGGAUGCCUAACGGGGCAUCCCCAAGCUUAGAUGCUUGAGACUUCUUGAAAUAUUAUCUUGGGGUGCCUUGGGUAUCCCCAAGCUUGAACUUUUGUGUCUCCUUAAUUCCUCUCAUAUCAUGGUUUCUCUUUUUAUCAAAAGCUUCAUCCACACCAAACUCAACAAGAACUCGUGAGAUAGGUUAGUAUAAACCAAUGCAAAACCUUAUCAUUUUCUACUGUAACAAAUCACUUAAAUUAUUUAUUCAACAUUGCAUACUAAAUUUCUCUGCAUAUUUAAUACUCAUAUCCUCAAAUAGAAUCAUUAAACAAGCAAACAUAUGCAAACAAUGCAAACAUAAUAGCAAUCUGCCAAAACAGUACAGUCUGUAAAGAAUGCAAGAGUAUCAAUACUUCCCUAACUCCAAAAAUUAUGAAAAAAAAUACUAUGCUGUAUAAGAUUUAUCAGAUCUCAAUAUUCAAAAAGUUUCAACAUUGUACCAUUCUCUGAAUUUUCUAGGGAAUUUUUGCAACAGCGGUAAACUUUCUGUUUUCAAACAGCAACAUGUAUACUAGCAAAAUAUGCAUGGCAAAGGCUAUCCUUGACAUUUUUAUUGAAACUAAAGAUGAAAAACAUUAUUAUAAAUAACAGAAAGAAAAUAUUAACAAAAUAAAAUGAUACUCCAGGAAAAACACAUAUCAUGUGGUGAAUAAAAAUAUAGCUCCAAGUAAAGUUACCGAUGAAUGAAGACGAAAGCGGGGGUGCCAUCCGGGGCAUCCCCAAGCUUAGGCUAUUGGUUGUCCUUGAAUAUUACCUUGGGGUGCCUUGGGAAUCCCCAAGCUUAGGCUCUUGCCACUCCUUAUUCCAUAGUCCAUCGAAUCUUUACCCAAAACUUGAAAACUUCAGAACACAAAACUCAACAGAAAACUCGUAAGCUCCGUUAGUAUAAGAAAAUAAAACCACCACUUAGGUACUGUAAUGAACUCAUUCUAAAUUCAUAUUGGUGUAAUAUCUACUGUAUUCCAACUUAUCUAUGGUUCACACCUUCCGAUACUACUCAUAGAUUCAUCAAAAUAAGCAAACAACACAUUGAAAACAGAAUCUGUCAAAAACAGAACAGUCUGUAGUAAUCUGUAUCAAACGUAUACUUCUGGAACUCUAAAAAUCCUACCAAAUUAGGAAGUCUAACGAAUUUGUAUACCAAUCUAGAUCAAAAAGAAUAAUAACAAAAGCACGUGUCUGUGAAUUAAUGAAACUAAUUUACUGGGUGCAAAAGUUUCUGAUUCUCAGUAGGACCAACACAACUAUCACCGUAAGCUAUCCUAAAGGUCUUACUUGGAACUUUAUUGAAAGAAAACCUAUAAAACAUGAUUACUACAGUAGCAUAAUCAUGUGGGCACACAAAAACAGUAAGGGUAAAUAUUGGGUUGUCUCCCAACAAGCGCUUUUCUUUUAUGCCUUUCUAGCUAGGCAUGAUGAUGACAAUGAUGCUCACAUAAAAGAUAAAAAUUGAAACAUAAUGGAAGCAUCAUGAAGCAUAUGACUAGCACAUUUAAGUCUAACCAACUUCCUAUGCAUAGGGAUUUUUUGAGUAAACAACUUAUGGGAACAAUAAUCAACUAGCAUAGGAAGGUAAAACAAGCAUAGCUUCAAAAUUUUCAACACAUAGAGAGGAAACUUGAUAUUAUUACAAUUCGUACUAGCAUAUGUUCCUCCCUCAUAAUAAUUUUUAGUAUCAUCAUGAAUGAAUUCAACAAUAUAACCAUCACCUAGAGCAUUCUUUUCAUAAUCUACAAGCAUAGAAAAUUUACUACUCUCCAGAUAAGCAAAAUUAUCCCUACAAAAUUGCUUGGCUUGUCUUCUCAAAAUAACAUGGCCAAAGAAAGUUAUCCCUACAAAAUCAUAUAGUCUGACUGUUGCUCUAUCUUCAUCACGCAAAGUAUUUAAUCAUACACAACCCCGCUGACAAGCCAAGCAAUUGAUUCAUACUUUAUUAAUCUCUAACUUUUUCAACUUUCACGCAAUACAUGAGCGUCAGCCAUGGACAUAGCACUAUAUGUGGAAUAGAAUGGUGGUUGUGGAGAAGACAAAAAGGAGAAGAUAGUCUCACAUCAACUAGGCGUAUCAACGGGCUAUGGAGAUGCCCGUUAAUAGAUAUCAAUGUGAGUGAGUAGGUAUUGCCAUGCAACAGAUGCACUAGAGCUAUAAAUAUAUGAAAGCUCAACAAAAGAAACUAAGUGGGUGUGCAUCCAACUCGCUUGCUCACGAAGACCUAGGGCAUUUUGAGGAAGCCCAUCAUUGGAAUAUACAAGCCAAGUUCUAUAAUGAAAAAUUCCCACUAGUAUAUGAAAGUGAGAACAUAUGAGACUCUCUAUCAUGAAGAUCAUGGUGCUACUUUGAAGCACAAGUGUGGAAAAAGAGAUAGUAGCAUUGUCCCUUCUCUCUUUUUCUCUCAUUUUAUUUCUUUUUCUUUUCUUUUUUUCUUCUUUUUUUCUUUGGCCUUUUUUUGGCGUUUCUCUUUUUUCUUCUUUUUUUAUAAAGUCCGAAGUCUCAUCCCGACUUGUGGGGGAAUCAUAGUCUUCAUCAUCCUUUCCUCACUAGGACAAUGCUCUAAUAAUGAAGAUCAUCACACUUUUAUGGAUUUACAACUCAAGAAUUACAACUCAAAGCUAGAACAAGAUAUGACUUGAUAUGAAUGCCUCCGGCGGUGUACCGGGAUAUGCAAUGAAUCAAGAGCGACAUGUAUGAAAAUUAUGAAGGUGGCCUUGCCACAAAUACAAUGUCAACUACAUGAUCAUGCAAAGAGCAAUAUGACAAAAGUAAUGCAUGUCAUAUGAACGGAAUGGUGGAAAGUUGCAUGGCAAUAUAUCUCGGAAUGGCUAUGGAAAUGCCAU